UUAAGCGACUAAGCGUACACGGUGGAUGCCCUGGCAGUCAGAGGCGAUGAAGGACGUGCUAAUCUGCGAUAAGCGUCGGUAAGGUGAUAUGAACCGUUAUAACCGGCGAUUUCCGAAUGGGGAAACCCAGUGUGUUUCGACACACUAUCAUUAACUGAAUCCAUAGGUUAAUGAGGCGAACCGGGGGAACUGAAACAUCUAAGUACCCCGAGGAAAAGAAAUCAACCGAGAUUCCCCCAGUAGCGGCGAGCGAACGGGGAGCAGCCCAGAGCCUGAAUCAGUGUGUGUGUUAGUGGAAGCGUCUGGAAAGGCGCGCGAUACAGGGUGACAGCCCCGUACACAAAAAUGCACAUGCUGUGAGCUCGAUGAGUAGGGCGGGACACGUGGUAUCCUGUCUGAAUAUGGGGGGACCAUCCUCCAAGGCUAAAUACUCCUGACUGACCGAUAGUGAACCAGUACCGUGAGGGAAAGGCGAAAAGAACCCCGGCGAGGGGAGUGAAAAAGAACCUGAAACCGUGUACGUACAAGCAGUGGGAGCACGCUUAGGCGUGUGACUGCGUACCUUUUGUAUAAUGGGUCAGCGACUUAUAUUCUGUAGCAAGGUUAACCGAAUAGGGGAGCCGAAGGGAAACCGAGUCUUAACUGGGCGUUAAGUUGCAGGGUAUAGACCCGAAACCCGGUGAUCUAGCCAUGGGCAGGUUGAAGGUUGGGUAACACUAACUGGAGGACCGAACCGACUAAUGUUGAAAAAUUAGCGGAUGACUUGUGGCUGGGGGUGAAAGGCCAAUCAAACCGGGAGAUAGCUGGUUCUCCCCGAAAGCUAUUUAGGUAGCGCCUCGUGAAUUCAUCUCCGGGGGUAGAGCACUGUUUCGGCAAGGGGGUCAUCCCGACUUACCAACCCGAUGCAAACUGCGAAUACCGGAGAAUGUUAUCACGGGAGACACACGGCGGGUGCUAACGUCCGUCGUGAAGAGGGAAACAACCCAGACCGCCAGCUAAGGUCCCAAAGUCAUGGUUAAGUGGGAAACGAUGUGGGAAGGCCCAGACAGCCAGGAUGUUGGCUUAGAAGCAGCCAUCAUUUAAAGAAAGCGUAAUAGCUCACUGGUCGAGUCGGCCUGCGCGGAAGAUGUAACGGGGCUAAACCAUGCACCGAAGCUGCGGCAGCGACGCUGAUGCGUUGUUGGGUAGGGGAGCGUUCUGUAAGCCUGCGAAGGUGUGCUGUGAGGCAUGCUGGAGGUAUCAGAAGUGCGAAUGCUGACAUAAGUAACGAUAAAGCGGGUGAAAAGCCCGCUCGCCGGAAGACCAAGGGUUCCUGUCCAACGUUAAUCGGGGCAGGGUGAGUCGACCCCUAAGGCGAGGCCGAAAGGCGUAGUCGAUGGGAAACAGGUUAAUAUUCCUGUACUUGGUGUUACUGCGAAGGGGGGACGGAGAAGGCUAUGUUGACCGGGCGACGGUUGUCCCGGUUUAAGCGUGUAGGCUGGUUUUCCAGGCAAAUCCGGAAAAUCAAGGCUGAGGCGUGAUGACGAGGCACUACGGUGCUGAAGCAACAAAUGCCCUGCUUCCAGGAAAAGCCUCUAAGCAUCAGGUAACAUCAAAUCGUACCCCAAACCGACACAGGUGGUCAGGUAGAGAAUACCAAGGCGCUUGAGAGAACUCGGGUGAAGGAACUAGGCAAAAUGGUGCCGUAACUUCGGGAGAAGGCACGCUGAUAUGUAGGUGAGGUCCCUCGCGGAUGGAGCUGAAAUCAGUCGAAGAUACCAGCUGGCUGCAACUGUUUAUUAAAAACACAGCACUGUGCAAACACGAAAGUGGACGUAUACGGUGUGACGCCUGCCCGGUGCCGGAAGGUUAAUUGAUGGGGUCAGCGCAAGCGAAGCUCUUGAUCGAAGCCCCGGUAAACGGCGGCCGUAACUAUAACGGUCCUAAGGUAGCGAAAUUCCUUGUCGGGUAAGUUCCGACCUGCACGAAUGGCGUAAUGAUGGCCAGGCUGUCUCCACCCGAGACUCAGUGAAAUUGAACUCGCUGUGAAGAUGCAGUGUACCCGCGGCAAGACGGAAAGACCCCGUGAACCUUUACUAUAGCUUGACACUGAACAUUGAGCCUUGAUGUGUAGGAUAGGUGGGAGGCUUAGAAGUGUGGACGCCAGUCUGCAUGGAGCCGACCUUGAAAUACCACCCUUUAAUGUUUGAUGUUCUAACGUUGACCCGUAAUCCGGGUUGCGGACAGUGUCUGGUGGGUAGUUUGACUGGGGCGGUCUCCUCCUAAAGAGUAACGGAGGAGCACGAAGGUUGGCUAAUCCUGGUCGGACAUCAGGAGGUUAGUGCAAUGGCAUAAGCCAGCUUGACUGCGAGCGUGACGGCGCGAGCAGGUGCGAAAGCAGGUCAUAGUGAUCCGGUGGUUCUGAAUGGAAGGGCCAUCGCUCAACGGAUAAAAGGUACUCCGGGGAUAACAGGCUGAUACCGCCCAAGAGUUCAUAUCGACGGCGGUGUUUGGCACCUCGAUGUCGGCUCAUCACAUCCUGGGGCUGAAGUAGGUCCCAAGGGUAUGGCUGUUCGCCAUUUAAAGUGGUACGCGAGCUGGGUUUAGAACGUCGUGAGACAGUUCGGUCCCUAUCUGCCGUGGGCGCUGGAGAACUGAGGGGGGCUGCUCCUAGUACGAGAGGACCGGAGUGGACGCAUCACUGGUGUUCGGGUUGUCAUGCCAAUGGCACUGCCCGGUAGCUAAAUGCGGAAGAGAUAAGUGCUGAAAGCAUCUAAGCACGAAACUUGCCCCGAGAUGAGUUCUCCCUGACUCCUUGAGAGUCCUGAAGGAACGUUGAAGACGACGACGUUGAUAGGCCGGGUGUGUAAGCGCAGCGAUGCGUUGAGCUAACCGGUACUAAUGAACCGUGAGGCUUAACCUU
Molecule: ribosomal RNA, 2902 nt
Filed under: Escherichia coli BIDMC 37
Lineage: Bacteria; Pseudomonadati; Pseudomonadota; Gammaproteobacteria; Enterobacterales; Enterobacteriaceae
Description: bacterial LSU rRNA
Rfam family: Bacterial large subunit ribosomal RNA
Source: RNAcentral